This 447-nucleotide ribosomal RNA is filed under the name uncultured bacterium. Its description in RNAcentral is "bacterial SSU rRNA". It matches the Rfam family "Bacterial small subunit ribosomal RNA", at positions 329 to 792 of the family's 1533-position model. The record is from RNAcentral.
UUCCAGACUCCUACGGGAGGCAGCAGUGGGGAAUAUUGCACAAUGGGGGAAACCCUGAUGCAGCGACGCCGCGUGAGUGAAGAAGUAUUUCGGUAUGUAAAGCUCUAUCAGCAGGGAAGAAAAUGACGGUACCUGACUAAGAAGCCCCGGCUAACUACGUGCCAGCAGCCGCGGUAAUACGUAGGGGGCAAGCGUUAUCCGGAUUUACUGGGUGUAAAGGGAGCGUAGGUGGCAUGGUAAGCCAGAAGUGAAAACCCGGGGCUCAACCCCGCGGAUUGCUUUUGGAACUAUCAGGCUGGAGUGCUGGAGGGGUAAGCGGAAUUCCUGGUGUAGCGGAGAAAUGCGUAGAUAUCAGGAGGAACACCGGCGGCGAAGGCGGCCUGCUGGACCGUGACUGACGUUGAGGCUCGAGAGCGUGGGGAGCAAACAGGAUUAGAUACCCUAGUA